This 230-nucleotide long non-coding RNA is filed under the name Felis catus (domestic cat). RNAcentral's name for it is "lncRNA (ENSFCAG00000045628.2)". Lineage: Eukaryota; Metazoa; Chordata; Mammalia; Carnivora; Felidae. The record is from RNAcentral.
AAGAAGUAGCCUAGAGAGUUCCUAUCCUGUGCUCAAAAGACUGGCUCAAAACAGAAGGUUUACAAAACUAUCACAUGUCAAGUGAAAGAGCCUGGUCCCCUCUUUAUUGCUCAUGACAGGAAGAAAAGAAAGAAUGAAAUAAAGCCAAAUGAAUACAGUAAAAGAAAGCAUCAGAUUACCUGCAAGUAUGGGAACACGGACAUUUGACAGCUUAGUGGAAAGAAAGAUGU